RNAcentral lists this ribosomal RNA (244 nucleotides) under uncultured prokaryote. Its description in RNAcentral is "partial 16S ribosomal RNA". It matches the Rfam family "Bacterial small subunit ribosomal RNA", at positions 524 to 766 of the family's 1533-position model. The record is from RNAcentral.
UACGGGGGGAGCAAGCGUUGUUCGGAUUUACUGGGCGUAAAGGGCGCGUAGGCGGUCAGCACAAGUCAGUUGUGAAAUCUCCGGGCUUAACCCGGAAAGGUCAACCGAUACUGCAGGGCUAGAGUGCAGAAGGGGCAACUGGAAUUCUCGGUGUAGCGGUGAAAUGCGUAGAUAUGUGAAAGAACACCGGUGGUGAAGACGGUUUACUGGGCUGAUACUGACGCUGAGGCGCGAAAGCAUGGGG